RNAcentral lists this ribosomal RNA (320 nucleotides) under uncultured bacterium. RNAcentral describes it as "bacterial SSU rRNA". It matches the Rfam family "Bacterial small subunit ribosomal RNA", at positions 470 to 789 of the family's 1533-position model. The record is from RNAcentral.
UGACGGUACCUGACUAAGAAGCUCCGGCUAAAUACGUGCCAGCAGCCGCGGUAAUACGUAUGGAGCAAGCGUUAUCCGGAUUUACUGGGUGUAAAGGGUGCGUAGGCGGCAUGGCAAGUCAGAUGUGAAAGACCGGGGCUCAACUCCGGGGCUGCAUUUGAAACUGCCAGGCUUGAGUACAGGAGAGGCAGGCGGAAUUCCUAGUGUAGCGGUGAAAUGCGUAGAUAUUAGGAGGAACACCAGUGGCGAAGGCGGCCUGCUGGACUGUUACUGACGCUGAGGCACGAAAGCGUGGGGAGCAAACAGGAUUAGAUACCCUG